RNAcentral lists this ribosomal RNA (506 nucleotides) under uncultured bacterium. RNAcentral's name for it is "partial 16S ribosomal RNA". It matches the Rfam family "Bacterial small subunit ribosomal RNA", at positions 30 to 523 of the family's 1533-position model. The record is from RNAcentral.
AUUGAACGCUGGCGGCAGGCCUAACACAUGCAAGUCGAGCGGCAGCGGAAAGUAGCUUGCUACUUUGCCGGCGAGCGGCGGACGGGUGAGUAAUGUCUGGGAAACUGCCUGAUGGAGGGGGAUAACUACUGGAAACGGUAGCUAAUACCGCAUAAUGUCGCAAGACCAAAGAGGGGGACCUUCGGGCCUCUUGCCAUCAGAUGUGCCCAGAUGGGAUUAGCUAGUAGGUGGGGUAACGGCUCACCUAGGCGACGAUCCCUAGCUGGUCUGAGAGGAUGACCAGCCACACUGGAACUGAGACACGGUCCAGACUCCUACGGGAGGCAGCAGUGGGGAAUAUUGCACAAUGGGCGCAAGCCUGAUGCAGCCAUGCCGCGUGUAUGAAGAAGGCCUUCGGGUUGUAAAGUACUUUCAGCGGGGAGGAAGGUGUUGUGGUUAAUAACCACAGCAAUUGACGUUACCCGCAGAAGAAGCACCGGCUAACUCCGUGCCAGCAGCCGCAGUAA